CUUCUUCCAUUCAAAGCUCCAAGUAGUGAAAAAAGGGAAGAUGGGUCUUUUACAUCACUCAUAACCAUCAAUUUUAUUAAGCAGUAAAUGGUUGUUAACCUUGUUGCUAUCUGGGAGAGUGCUUUGGAAAGAUACUCCAUCAGAAAACAACCAACAAUUAAUUGCUUAAUUACAGCGCAUGUCAAUGCUGCUCCUGCGGGCCAUCCAGUUGGUGAGAUGUACGAGUUCCCUCCUCUGAGGAUAUAAACAGCCUGACUGUGAUGAACAAGAGAUAGUUGGAAAAGGUCACAAUGCAUUUUCAAAUCCUACCAAUUAAGUACCUCAUCAUAUUGAGAUGGAAAACCAUGGGUGACGACUCUUUUAGCAUAGUGAAUUGCCCAUCUUAUAUCAUCAGCAGUCCCGUUUCGAGUUCUGCCUCUUCAUCACACUCACAAGUGGAAACCUAAGAGCUGGCAAUACAUUAAUCUUACAUUCAUCACACGGAAUGUUCAACACCAUUUGGGUCUAACAUACCUGAAGAUGGCUGAGAUCUGAAGAGAAAAUCGCAUUGCCAAACAUGAACUGGAACUGGAAAGGUUGGAACAGAUGACCCAUUCUAUUUGCUGUUGGCAGCUAAGACUUCAUUAAUAAAGAAAUGUCAGUUUACCCAA
Anolis carolinensis (green anole) is the source of this 650-nucleotide long non-coding RNA. RefSeq lists it as uncharacterized. The transcript has 4 exons. Lineage: Eukaryota; Metazoa; Chordata; Lepidosauria; Squamata; Anolidae. The record is from RefSeq and is a predicted model, not a curated record.